Bactrocera oleae (olive fruit fly) is the source of this 1695-nucleotide non-coding RNA. The record is from RefSeq and is a predicted model, not a curated record. NCBI's taxonomy places the organism in Eukaryota, Metazoa, Arthropoda, Insecta, Diptera, Tephritidae.
UGAAGGUGACCUUUUAAGAGCAUUACUCGCUUUGUAAACAACUACGUUUUUUUGUGGUUUUCAUUCAGUGUUGUUACGAGCUUUUCCUAGAAGGCACAGCAGAUGCAACGAAGGCCCGAGAGAGGUUGAUAUCUCUGUCAAAUAUUCAAGAUAUUUAAAAGGAAACCGUCGAUUGGUGAAACUUAUCUUUCGAACAAGGGCUAAUUUUACUAAAGGCUAUGCCAUUGCUGAUAAUGAAAUGUCAAUAAUAAUAAUAUUUUAUAUAGUAUUAUUUGAUGGCUGAGGGUAUAAAGCCUAGAUUGUCACGUGUGGAGUUUCUUUACCCAGAGCAACCAAUCACCGAUCCGAUCCGAUGAAAUUAAUGUAUACUUAUAUAUUAUGCUCCAUAAUUCCCUCUAGAAAGUCAUUCCACUCACGAAUAAUCGCUCUGAAGUGAUCGAAGUGAAGCUGAAGCUUUAGAGAGCGCAGAGUUUUGCAUUAAAUUUGCUGGGGAAAGUGGUUUGAGUACGUAACCCUUAAAAAUUGGUUAAAUAUAUACCUUUUGAAGCUGGGCUGAACAUGUGUAAAUGCGAAGAAAUAUUGCCAGCCUUGUGGCGAAAAAUAGUAAUAUACGAAGGAUCACCAAAGACACCAAUAUAUUUUUUAUGUGCCAUUUUAUGGUACUUAAGUCCAAAAUUACCAGCCAUAUGCUCUUUACUGGUACUAAGAAAAUCUGCAGACAUCAAGAAUUAAGAUUGUCACACAGAAUCCUUUAAAAAAAAGCACAUACCAAAUUGACUCAAACGAUAUCCGAGUAAUACCAAUAUAACCUCAUUAGUUUCCAUCAAAUAUUCGGGACCUGUGGGACUUGGAACCUCCACCGUGUAUAAAGAGCAAAAUGGGUAGUUUUUCAGCGGACCUUUUCUAAAAUUUAUAAAGGAAGAUGAGCAAAAACCUUAUCGAAAAAAAAGAAAAUUGCAAGCGGUAGAGAGAAAAGUUAAAGGAAGAUCAAUUAAAAUUACAGAACUAUAAAUUAAAAACAGGAAAGAACACCAAAAGCUAGGCAAAAAUCAAAAGCGUUGGCUGAAGGAAAUAUUGAAAUUCAUAAAUAUGUCUGCUGCAAUAAUGAAAACUGUAUGGCAAGCAAUUGCAAGAAAUAUAUUUAGUAAAUAUGUAGCGGAAAAUAGAUAAUCAUAUAGCUCUUACCAAUACCAUUGGGUCUCUUUCCCACCUAAUGGCUGACGUCGAGAAAAAUUACUUUCGUUUAAAAGUAAUUUUUUUGAGAAAAGAGCUCAGCAAAGAUAUUGUGAGAAAAACAAAAGCAAAAUAAAUUCUACUGAACUGAAUUCAAAUAGAUUUUGCCGAGAAUUAUACAAAUCGAAGUGAGAUACAGAGUGCUCAGUUUAGCAGAAGUUUCAAAAUCGUUUGCUGUUAUAAGUUAUAAGCUAACACAUAACCAACACGACGUGUUUACUUUCAUGAUAAAUCUCUUAACUGAAAAAGAAAUCCUAUGAGAGUUUUUCUAAAAUAUUUAUUUUUCUGAUGGAAGCUACUCUCAGUUUAAAAACAAAUUUAUAUUAUCAAGCCCGGUUGAUCUUAUAAAACAAUUAAAAUGCUCUUGAUUAGAAUGGAAUUUUUUCUUUAAACGCUUUUACUGGAGACUUGUUGAUAUAAAUUCGGUACCAAAACAGCAGAAUCAACAUAAAUAUUAUGAUG